Molecule: ribosomal RNA, 423 nt
Filed under: uncultured bacterium
Lineage: Bacteria
Description: bacterial SSU rRNA
Rfam family: Bacterial small subunit ribosomal RNA
Source: RNAcentral
CUCAACCUCGGAAUGGCUCUCGAUACUGCCAGGCUUGAGUUCGCGAGAGGCGAGUGGAAUUCCAGGUGUAGCGGUGAAAUGCUUAGAUAUCUGGAGGAACACCGGUGGCGAAAGCGGCUCGCUGGCGCGAAACUGACGCUGAGACUCGAAAGCGUGGGGAGCGAACGGGAUUAGAUACCCCGGUAGUCCACGCUGUAAACGUUGUGCACUAGGUGUGGGAGGUAUCGACCCCUUCCGUGCCGGAGCUAACGCGUUAAGUGCACCGCCUGGGGAGUACGGCCGCAAGGCUGAAACUCAAAGGAAUUGACGGGGGCCCGCACAAGCGGUGGAGCAUGUGGUUUAAUUCGAGGCAACGCGAAGAACCUUACCCAGGCUUGACAUCCCCGGACCGCCCUGGAAACAGGGUUUUCCCUUCGGGGACCG